Molecule: ribosomal RNA, 915 nt
Filed under: uncultured marine archaeon
Lineage: Archaea
Description: bacterial SSU rRNA
Rfam family: Archaeal small subunit ribosomal RNA
Source: RNAcentral
UUCCGGUUGAUCCUGCCGGACCUGACUGCUAUCGGAUUGAUACUAAGCCAUGCGAGUCUUUGCAGUAAUGCAAGGCAUACGGCUCAGUAACACGUAGUCAACUUACCCUAUGGACGAGGAUAAUCUCGGGAAACUGAGCAUAAUACUCGAUAGAUCAUAAUGCCUGGAAUGGUUUAUGGUUAAAAUGAUUCGUCGCCAUAGGAUGGGACUGCGGCCUAUCAGCUUGUUGGUGAGGUAAUGGCCCACCAAGGCGAUUACAGGUACGGGCUCUGAGAGGAGAAGCCCGGAGAUGGGUACUGAGACACGGACCCAGGCCCUAUGGGGCGCAGCAGGCGAGAAAACUUUGCAAUGUGCGAAAGCACGACAAGGUUAAUCCGAGUGAUUUCUGCUAAAGAAAUCUUUUACCAGUCGUAAAACCGCUGGUGAAUAAGGGGUGGGCAAGUUCUGGUGUCAGCCGCCGCGGUAAAACCAGCACCUCAAGUGGUCAGGAUGAUUAUUGGGCCUAAAGCAUCCGUAGCCGGCUUUGUAAGUUUUCGGUUAAAUCCAUGUGCUCAACGCAUGGGCUGCCGAAAAUACUGCAUAGCUAGGGAGUGGAAGAGGUAGACGGUACUCAGUAGGUAGGGGUAAAAUCCUUUGAUCUAUUGAUGACCACCUGUGGCGAAGGCGGUCUACCAGAACACGUUCGACGGUGAGGGAUGAAAGCUGGGGGAGCAAACCGGAUUAGAUACCCGGGUAGUCCCAGCUGUAAACGAUGCAGACUCGAUGAUGCAUUGGCAUAAUAGCCAUUGCAGUGUCGCAGGGAAGCCGUUAAGUCUGCCGCCUGGGAAGUACGUACGCAAGUAUGAAACUUAAAGGAAUUGGCGGGGGAGCACCACAAGGGGUGAAGCCUGCGGUUCAAUUGGAUUCAACGCCGGG